UCAAUAUUAUGUAUUUGGUUCUUGAAAAAUUAGGAGAGUAUAUAAAUAAGAGUGCUCAAAUCUUGCUAGCAAGUGCCUGUUAUGAUUCAUGUGAAGAUUAUUUCUUUGGGGGUAACUAACUCAAAACCUCAGAUUGUUUAUCGACUGACAAAUAAUUGGUAAGGCAUUCUACGAGGCACUGUUUGCCAUGUGGUGUGGAGUGUUAUCGUCUGAUUUUUUUAGCUUGUUAUAGUCUAGAGCGUUUCUCAAAUAAUUUUUGGAAUGGAUUUUGUGCAGAUUUGCAGCGAAGUAACUCCCAAAACUUCUUUGCAGCAAACUAACUCAAAAACUCAUUUUUAUUUAUUUUCUCUUCGUAGAUAAUAAUUUUCAGAUACUUGCUACUUAUAAUCUCAAUCAUAUAUAUUUUUAAGUCAUUGUUCUCUAGGCCAUCAUAUUUUCCUAAAGAUGGUAUUUCAGUUUCACGAAAAUCAUUGUUGCCUGUCAUAUAAGGAUCAAUUACUUCAUUCAGUUAUUGAACAUUUGAAAUGGACUAUGAUUUUGCAAAUUAUGUUUAUAUUUUGAAUAUGUAGAUUGACAUUCAAGUCCCUCAGGGAUCCCUUUGCUAAUGAAGCAUCACUACCUUGUUGGCUAUACAUGACCGUGCAUGUGUUAUUCCUUUAUGCAAAGCAAUCAGCUCAUUCUUGGCUUAUUCUGAAUGCAGCUGUCUGUUCUUUUGCAGCUGAUGAAGAAUUUUAUUAGAUCUCAAUUUUCAUGAAAGCUUCACUGAUUCCACAGAUGGGAGUCAUGUAUCUUCCAGCUUUGUAAUGCUAUUUUUUAGUGUGGGUUUUUCUUGACUGCUCUUAGUUGAGUGCUAAUUGCUAAGCCAUUAUCUCAAGCUGAGUAUGGUUACCUCUUGCUAAUUAAUGCCAUUAUUAGUUAUUUUCUAAUUGUUUAUCCAGCUCACAAGAGGAUAUUUUUCUAAAAUCCGUGAGUUGUUUCUUUUAUCUUGCAGCUUUUGAACAGAAACUGCAAACUUAACUGAACUAACAUAUAAACAGGAUUCAGAGGAGUAAGCAACAGCAAGGGGCCCUGCAUUCUCUUCUACUCUCGCUGUGCUGGUUUCGAUGCGACGGUACAGGACCUUGACAGUGCCCGCUCAACCUAAAGAUAACCUUAUCAUAUCAUGCGACGGACUUCAUUUCACCUCGUUUGGAAACAAGAUUUUGUUUGACGAGGUGCUCAAGAUGCUGGAAUAUAUUGGUUUUAACCAGAAAAUUCUCUGGUCGGAUCUCCCACUGUUCCUUGAAAUUGACCCAAAAGACCCAUUGAAAGCAUUGGAAAUUUGAACAAGGUACUUUAUGGUUCGAUUAAUCAUAAGGCAAGCUCUGCUUGGUUUGAACUCUUGUGUAUUUAUCAUGGUAUUUGGAACACUUUAUGCCAUGGGCGAGACAUGUUUAGAAGAUGUGAUUUAUGUUCCAUGUAUUCCGUAAGAAGUGAUCAUGCCAUUCUACGGUUUGCUAGCGAAAAACACAGUGAAGUUAAAUGGAAUUUUCUAUUAUUUUCCUGUACAUUCGGUAAGGUGAAGAGAAGCUUUGGUUUCUGUUGCAUUUGAAGACGAACAUUAGUUAAUGCCCUUCCAGUUAUUUUAUUUGGAAUGAUAAAUAUCUUUACCUAUUUUGGCUCAAAUUAAAUUGUAGGUUCUUUCUAUUUGAUUCAGUUCAAAUGGUUAAUAAUGCCUUUCCAUUAUUUUGCUUUUUAGCUCCUAUUACAGAAAUUAAUCCUGUAUGAAAAAAAUAUGAUAUUGGUUUGUAGGCCCCCCUUAAUGCCUUCAUUCUUGUCCGGGCUAUUUUCCAGACGAGUCUUGACCUUUUUCCUACUAAAAUCUGAUCAUCUGCCAUAUUUAGAGAUGCGAACUAAAUAACUCUAUUUUCCUAUAACGUCAUAUACAUUUUAUGCCUCUAAAUUAAAUGAGUACAAUGUUCUUUGACAAUGGAUUUUGCUUCCUCCUGCAUAAAUAGGCACGUCACGCAGCUGUGCUUAUGAUAUCAAUCUAACAUAUAUUGAUUCUUUCAAUUACUGACUUCUCGCUGCUCUCUUUCACACCCAUCUGCCUUCUUCGGGUUGCUCUUUGCGGAGUCCCCAAUAAUUUUUUGGGUAUCUAAGUUCAUUUCUUUUAACAAUCCCAGCUCCUUCGUUGCAAAGUAGACCAUGAUACAUCGCUCGAAAAAGAUUCUCCUUCUUCAGUUCCUCACCGUGAUAUGUCUUCCCAAUCCCAUAGGUAUCGAUCAUUUUUGCUCUUAAUUGUCUUGGUUUGUAGGUUGUAGCUGCAGGAUCAAGAUACGUGUAUGGACACCUCCGUCUUCAUGACUCAAUGGGAAAUUUGAUGAGGUCAAUAGACAGAUCCAAUUCACUUGCCUCGCCGCAAUUAGGGUUUGAGUGUUUGUGCUGUUACAACGGUUUGGGGCAACUGCUGACAAUUGCGACAAUUGCAAAUCUCCAAGAUCGUGUUUGCAGUGGUUUGAAGAUCAUCGAUGAGCCAUCGAGGUGAAACCUUUCAGCCAUUACUGCUUUCAUGCAGGUGUAAAUUCUUUGCUAUAAGCUGAAGCUCAGUAUGGGUUGUGUCGCUAGGACUAUGUCACACAUAAAGAAAACACUUUCUACCAUUGCCAUGAAGUUCAAUUAUUCAGAACCAUCGAUUAACUGGAAUGUUCACCGGCCGAGUGACGAGGUUGAGAUGUCUCUGCUAUAGCGCUAUAGUGAAUAGGAAGAUUCAUUCUUUUGUGGAUCAGGGUGCCCGUAAGUUCUAAUGGCAAAUUCCGCAGCGUCAGCUCGGGAAGGUGGCACGACCAUGGCGGGAAGGGACGAAUUGAUGUGGGAAUCGCCCGUUGAAGGUCCGCCACGUCCGCCCACCCCUGCCUGUCCAAAAUCUUUGCACCGUUGUACCGCAGAAGACCAUGGAGCACCACCCAAAAAAGCGACAGACUAAUGCAAGAGAUGACAUGUUGUGUUAUUUUGCUCCUUUUCAUCAAACGGAUAAUUAUUCACUAAUUCAGUUAAUGCUUGCUUGUUAUUGACAUUUACAAAUAUAUACAAAAUAAAUAUUGGCAAAAAUUUCACGGGAUCGUGCGCCAAGGCGCACAUUAAAAUCUAGUA
This is a long non-coding RNA of Lolium perenne, 3132 nucleotides long. RefSeq lists it as uncharacterized. NCBI's taxonomy places the organism in Eukaryota, Viridiplantae, Streptophyta, Magnoliopsida, Poales, Poaceae. The record is from RefSeq and is a predicted model, not a curated record.